Molecule: ribosomal RNA, 594 nt
Filed under: Shigella flexneri
Lineage: Bacteria; Pseudomonadati; Pseudomonadota; Gammaproteobacteria; Enterobacterales; Enterobacteriaceae
Description: bacterial SSU rRNA
Rfam family: Bacterial small subunit ribosomal RNA
Source: RNAcentral
UGGUUUAAUUCGAUGCAACGCGAAGAACCUUACCUGGUCUUGACAUCCACGGAAGUUUUCAGAGAUGAGAAUGUGCCUUCGGGAACCGUGAGACAGGUGCUGCAUGGCUGUCGUCAGCUCGUGUUGUGAAAUGUUGGGUUAAGUCCCGCAACGAGCGCAACCCUUAUCCUUUGUUGCCAGCGGUCCGGCCGGGAACUCAAAGGAGACUGCCAGUGAUAAACUGGAGGAAGGUGGGGAUGACGUCAAGUCAUCAUGGCCCUUACGACCAGGGCUACACACGUGCUACAAUGGCGCAUACAAAGAGAAGCGACCUCGCGAGAGCAAGCGGACCUCAUAAAGUGCGUCGUAGUCCGGAUUGGAGUCUGCAACUCGACUCCAUGAAGUCGGAAUCGCUAGUAAUCGUGGAUCAGAAUGCCACGGUGAAUACGUUCCCGGGCCUUGUACACACCGCCCGUCACACCAUGGGAGUGGGUUGCAAAAGAAGUAGGUAGCUUAACCUUCGGGAGGGCGCUUACCACUUUGUGAUUCAUGACUGGGGUGAAGUCGUAACAAGGUAACCGUAGGGGAACCUGCGGUUGGAUCACCUCCUUACCU